AGCGAACGCUGGCGGUAGGCCUAACACAUGCAAGUCGAACGGCAGCACAGUAAGAGCUUGCUCUUACGGGUGGCGCGUGGCGGACGGGUGAGGAAUACAUCGGAAUCUACUUUUUCGUGGGGGAUAACGUAGGGAAACUUACGCUAAUACCGCAUACGACCUACGGGUGAAAGCAGGGGAUCUUCGGACCUUGCGCGAUUGAAUGAGCCGAUGUCGGAUUAGCUAGUUGGCGGGGUAAAGGCCCACCAAGGCGACGAUCCGUAGCUGGUCUGAGAGGAUGAUCAGCCACACUGGAACUGAGACACGGUCCAGACUCCUACGGGAGGCAGCUGUGGGGAAUAUUGGACAAUGGGGGCAAGCCUGAUCCAGCCAUACCGCGUGGGUGAAGAAGGCCUUCGGGUUGUAAAGCCCUUUUGUUGGGAAAGAAAAGCAGCAGGUUAAUACCCCGCUGUUCUGACGGUACCCAAAGAAUAAGCACCGGCUAACUUCGUG
RNAcentral lists this ribosomal RNA (492 nucleotides) under uncultured bacterium. RNAcentral describes it as "partial 16S ribosomal RNA". It matches the Rfam family "Bacterial small subunit ribosomal RNA", at positions 29 to 507 of the family's 1533-position model. The record is from RNAcentral.